Molecule: ribosomal RNA, 470 nt
Filed under: uncultured Desulfovibrio sp.
Lineage: Bacteria; Pseudomonadati; Thermodesulfobacteriota; Desulfovibrionia; Desulfovibrionales; Desulfovibrionaceae
Description: bacterial SSU rRNA
Rfam family: Bacterial small subunit ribosomal RNA
Source: RNAcentral
GACGGGGCCCGCACAAGCGGUGGAGUAUGUGGUUUAAUUCGAUGCAACGCGAAGAACCUUACCUAGGUUUGACAUCCGGAAAACUUCCCGAAAAGGAAGGGUGCCCUUCGGGGAAUUCCGAGACAGGUGCUGCAUGGCUGUCGUCAGCUCGUGCCGUGAGGUGUUGGGUUAAGUCCCGCAACGAGCGCAACCCUAUUGCCAGUUGCUACCAGGUAAUGCUGGGCACUCUGGUGAGACUGCCCCGGUUAACGGGGAGGAAGGUGGGGACGACGUCAAGUCAUCAUGGCCCUUACGCCUAGGGCUACACACGUACUACAAUGGCGCAUACAAAGGGCAGCGAUACCGCGAGGUGGAGCCAAUCCCAAAAAGUGCGUCCCAGUCCGGAUUGCAGUCUGCAACUCGACUGCAUGAAGUUGGAAUCGCUAGUAAUUCGAGAUCAGCAUGCUCGGGUGAAUGCGUUCCCGGGCCUU